AUUGAACGCUGGCGGCAGGCCUAACACAUGCAAGUCGAACGGUAGCACAGAGAGCUUGCUCUCGGGUGACGAGUGGCGGACGGGUGAGUAAUGUCUGGGAAACUGCCUGAUGGAGGGGGAUAACUACUGGAAACGGUAGCUAAUACCGCAUAACGUCGCAAGACCAAAGAGGGGGACCUUCGGGCCUCUUGCCAUCAGAUGUGCCCAGAUGGGAUUAGCUAGUAGGUGGGGUAACGGCUCACCUAGGCGACGAUCCCUAGCUGGUCUGAGAGGAUGACCAGCCACACUGGAACUGAGACACGGUCCAGACUCCUACGGGAGGCAGCAGUGGGGAAUAUUGCACAAUGGGCGCAAGCCUGAUGCAGCCAUGCCGCGUGUAUGAAGAAGGCCUUCGGGUUGUAAAGUACUUUCAGCGGGGAGGAAGGGAGUAAGGUUAAUAACCUUAUUCAUUGACGUUACCCGCAGAAGAAGCACCGGCUAACUCCGUGCCAGCAGCCGCAGUAA
RNAcentral lists this ribosomal RNA (504 nucleotides) under uncultured bacterium. Its description in RNAcentral is "partial 16S ribosomal RNA". It matches the Rfam family "Bacterial small subunit ribosomal RNA", at positions 30 to 523 of the family's 1533-position model. The record is from RNAcentral.